Long non-coding RNA from Solea senegalensis (Senegalese sole), 1803 nucleotides. RefSeq lists it as uncharacterized. The record is from RefSeq and is a predicted model, not a curated record. The transcript is spliced from 3 exons. Lineage: Eukaryota; Metazoa; Chordata; Actinopteri; Pleuronectiformes; Soleidae.
UGCGUCCUGGUAGUAUUUAUUCAAUAGCAUACUGGUUCAUUCAGUUAGGCCAAUAAAGACAAUAGCUUCCUUGGCCUGGUCAAUGUCCCAUCUCUGAUGGAGAACCUCUUCUCUCUUACGUCUUCUGAUACUAAAAGAGGUCAACAGGCUGCAGGCUGUUGGCUUGAGCAUGUCCUUACUUGUCUGACUUAAAAUAUAGCAUGAAUUCAACUUGACUUGAUUCUCACUACGUGAAUAUGGACCACAUUCAGGAUCAUUUAUGUGAAACGACAAAAUCUGAAAUAUUACUGUUAAAAGAAAGCCAACCAAAUCUUACUGGGAAGGUCAAUGAGGAAAAAACUUCAUUGGGAAUAUGGGAGAUCUUUUUUUUUACAUCUUAGAAACAGAAAAACAAAUGAUCCAAUGAAUUUCAGGUGGCUGUUCCUUUUUGGCAGUCAGUGUUUCUUUAACAUGUAAGACUAUAUUUCUUAAAACAAUUGGCUUAUAACAUGUAAAUGUAAACUAAACAUUUCUGCGCCACAGUGUAGGUGUUUUGUGACUGCUGCUGGUUCACAUGACAGAUGGACUAUUCGACGCUAGUGGUUCACUGUGAAUCACUGACCUCCUCCCCACAACUGGGAAACAUUUUUAGGCAAAUGCAAUUAAUCCAGUUUAUUACAUUGGAUAAGCAACUCCUCUUGUGGGGGCUGUAGUUUUAUGUAAUGGGAUCAGCGAAUAUAAAUCAUGCAUCUUUUCCCACGGUCAAGUGUGUUUGUGCUUGUCUGCGUGCUCACUGGGUUAACAGCUCUUUGGCAAGUUCCUUUCCUCUUAUAAUAUAGUCGUGAUUUCAUGAAACCAAAUAUGUACAGUAUUUCGCUUUAAUCAUCCCCCCUUUUCCUUUCAUCUGGACAACAGGAAGAGUGGGAAGAGGGAUUGAGGAGGUUGCGGCAUGGAAACGGAGGUGUCGCCUAGAGCAAUGCUAUGGGACCCUUGGGACAGCAGAUGGCAGUAGGAAAAUCACAGGUGUAAAUAAUCAAAUCAACGGUGGGUGAGUUACACUUUGCUUUUUCAGUUUCAGGAUGCGUGUUGGUUCACUGCCACAUGAGCAGAGCUAUGAUUAACACGUGUGCUUUUCUGCUGACAUUUAUCAAAAUGGCUGCUGUGGAGAAAUGGCCCGUUUUCAAGUAAAAGCCUGCAAGGCCAGGUUUAUCGCCCAGAAGAUGAACCCAUGAACCGAAACAAGGCUUAAGGGACCUCCUACAGGACAAUCCUCAUGUCGCCUGUGUGGUAAAGCUGCUGAACACUCCCUCACAUUCCCAGUGAUCAAUGCUAACACUGAGGCACUAUCCUCAUCCUCUAAAACCUUCUGUUUUAGAGGGAAACGUGAAAUAAUGUGCAGGGCAUCUAAGGUGUUUUAAAAUGAUUAAUGAUGGUUUUUGAUUGUUAAUGUGUAUUUAUAUACUGUAUUGUAGUAACUUGGACCAAACCUUAACUUAAAAUGAAGCCAAACACAAUGUGUAAUUUGUAUGUGUAAUUGUUUAUAUGAAUAAUCACAUUUAAUACACUACAUUUCAAUUUGAGCUUAUUGUGUCCUGAGUUUCCUUGAUUUUUGUAGUUUGGUCCUCAUUGUCUGUACAUGGAUAUCAUAUGGCUACACAAUUUUAAAAUCUUCAAAAUAAUAGACUACAGAAUAAAUAUUAGAGUAACUUAAUUUAUCAAAUCAAAAAGAUGUUAUUUGCCAUUAAUGUAUGGGACAUUUUCAACAGUUGUGAUCACAUGGUAGAUGCUUUAAACUUUUUGGGCAUAAAAAAAUCUUGCGUUGAA